This 1123-nucleotide ribosomal RNA is filed under the name Lactiplantibacillus plantarum. Its description in RNAcentral is "bacterial SSU rRNA". It matches the Rfam family "Bacterial small subunit ribosomal RNA", at positions 160 to 1291 of the family's 1533-position model. Lineage: Bacteria; Bacillati; Bacillota; Bacilli; Lactobacillales; Lactobacillaceae. The record is from RNAcentral.
CCCUUAAAACCGAAUGGUCAAACUUUAAAACAUGGCUUCGAAUAUCAAUUUUGGAUGGUCCAAAGGCGAAUUAGCUAAAUGGAGGGGUAACGGCUCACCAUGGAAAUGAUACGUAGCCGACCUGAGAGGGUAAUCGGGCACAUUGGGACUGAGACACGGCCCAAACUCCUACGGGAGGCAGCAGUAGGGAAUCUUCCACAAUGGACGAAAGUCUGAUGGAGCAACGCCGCGUGAGUGAAGAAGGGUUUCGGCUCGUAAAACUCUGUUGUUAAAGAAGAACAUAUCUGAGAGUAACUGUUCAGGUAUUGACGGUAUUUAACCAGAAAGCCACGGCUAACUACGUGCCAGCAGCCGCGGUAAUACGUAGGUGGCAAGCGUUGUCCGGAUUUAUUGGGCGUAAAGCGAGCGCAGGCGGUUUUUUAAGUCUGAUGUGAAAGCCUUCGGCUCAACCGAAGAAGUGCAUCGGAAACUGGGAAUCUUGAGUGCAGAAGAGGACAGUGGAAUUUCCAUGUGUAGCGGUGAAAUGCGUAGAUAUAUGGAAGAACACCCAGUGGCGAAGGCGGCUGUCUGGUCUGUAUCUGACGCUGAGGCUUGAAAGUAUGGGUAGCAAACAGGAUUAGAUACCGUGGUAGUCCAUACCGUAAACGAUGAAUGUUAAGUGUUGGAGGGUUUCCGCCCUUCAGUGCUGCAGUUAACGCAUUAAGCAUUCCGCCUGGGGAGUACGGCCGCAAGGCUGAAACUCAAAGGAAUUGACGGGGGCCCGCACAAGCGGUGGAGCAUGUGGUUUAAUUCGAAGCUACGCGAAGAACCUUACCAGGUCUUGACAUACUAUGCAAAUCUAAGAGAUUAGACGUUCCCUUCGGGGACAUGGAUACAGGUGGUGCAUGGUUGUCGUCAGCUCGUGUCGUGAGAUGUUGGGUUAAGUCCCGCAACGAGCGCAACCCUUAUUAUCAGUUGCCAGCAUUAAGUUGGGCACUGUGGUGAGACUGCCGGUGACAAACCGGAGGAAGGUGGGGAUGACGUCAAAUCAUCAUGCCCCUUAUGACAUAAAAUAAAAAAGAAAAACAAAAAAAAAAAAAAGGAGUUGGGAAAUUGUGAAAGUGGAAUAGUAAAUUGGAACCAG